GAGCGAGAAGGGGGGCAACCCCCGAGUACAGCGGCGGACGGGUGAGGAACACGUAGGUAACCUGCCCUUCGGUGGAGGACAACGGUCCGAAAGGACCGCUAAUACUGCAUUCGUUUCCCGGGACCCCGGUCCUGGGAAGGAAAGCCUCGCAAGGGGCGCCGGAGGAGGGGCCUGCGUCGCAUCAGCUAGUUGGUGGGGUAAUGGCCUACCAAGGCGAAGACGCGUAGCUGGUCUGAGAGGAUGAUCAGCCACACUGGGACUGAGACACGGCCCAGACUCCUACGGGAGGCAGCAGUGGGGAAUAUUGGACAAUGGGCGAAAGCCUGAUCCAGCCACGCCGCGUGAGUGAUGAAGGCCUUCGGGUCGUAAAGCUCUGUGGGGAGGGACGAAUUUCCCGUUGAAGAAACGGGAGUGACGGUACCUCCUUAGCAAGCACCGGCUAACUUCGUGCCAGCAGCCGCGGUAAUACGAAGGGUGCAAACGUUGCUCGGAAUCAUUGGGCGUAAAGCGCACGUAGGCGGCCUUGCAAGUCGGAUGUGAAAUCCCACGGCUCAACCGUGGACGUGCAUCCGAAACUGCUCGGCUCGAGUAUGGAAGAGGGUCGCGGAAUUCCCGGUGUAGAGGUGAAAUUCGUAGAUAUCGGGAGGAACACCAGUGGCGAAGGCGGCGACCUGGGCCAAUACUGACGCUGAGGUGCGAA
Molecule: ribosomal RNA, 700 nt
Filed under: uncultured bacterium
Lineage: Bacteria
Description: bacterial SSU rRNA
Rfam family: Bacterial small subunit ribosomal RNA
Source: RNAcentral